This 514-nucleotide ribosomal RNA is filed under the name uncultured bacterium. RNAcentral's name for it is "partial 16S ribosomal RNA". It matches the Rfam family "Bacterial small subunit ribosomal RNA", at positions 28 to 523 of the family's 1533-position model. The record is from RNAcentral.
GAUGAACGCUGGCGGCGUGCCUAAUACAUGCAAGUCGAGCGAACAGAUGAGAAGCUUGCUUCUCUGAUGUUAGCGGCGGACGGGUGAGUAACACGUGGGUAACCUACCUAUAAGACUGGAAUAACUCCGGGAAACCGGGGCUAAUACCGGAUAAUAUUUUGAACCGCAUGGUUCAAUAGUGAAUGACGGUUUCGGCUGUCACUUAUAGAUGGACCCGCGCCGUAUUAGCUAGUUGGUAAGGUAACGGCUUACCAAGGCGACGAUACGUAGCCGACCUGAGAGGGUGAUCGGCCACACUGGAACUGAGACACGGUCCAGACUCCUACGGGAGGCAGCAGUAGGGAAUCUUCCGCAAUGGGCGAAAGCCUGACGGAGCAACGCCGCGUGAGUGAUGAAGGUCUUCGGAUCGUAAAACUCUGUUGUUAGGGAAGAACAAAUUUGUUAGUAACUGAACAAGUCUUGACGGUACCUAACCAGAAAGCCACGGCUAACUACGUGCCAGCAGCCGCCGUAA